AUAUCAAUAAGCGGAGGAAAAGAAACCAACAGGGAUUACCUCAGUAACGGCGAGUGAAGCGGUAACAGCUCAAAUUUGAAAUCUGGCCGCAAGGUCCGAGUUGUAAUUUGUAGAGGAAACUUCGGGCGCGGUCCGGUCUAAGUUCAUUGGAACAUGACGUCAUAGAGGGUGAGAAUCCCGUAUGUGACUGGGUGCCGCUGUCCAUGUGAAGCUCCUUCGACGAGUCGAGUUGUUUGGGAAUGCAGCUCUAAAUGGGUGGUAUAUUUCAUCUAAAGCUAAAUAUUGGCCAGAGACCGAUAGCGCACAAGUAGAGUGAUCGAAAGAUGAAAAGCACUUUGGAAAGAGAGUUAAACAGUAC
RNAcentral lists this ribosomal RNA (358 nucleotides) under uncultured fungus. RNAcentral describes it as "eukaryotic LSU rRNA". It matches the Rfam family "Eukaryotic large subunit ribosomal RNA", at positions 40 to 398 of the family's 3401-position model. The record is from RNAcentral. Lineage: Eukaryota; Fungi.